GGCUCCAUAGCUCAGGGGAUAGAGCACCGCUCUCCUAAAGCGGGUGUCGCAGGUUCGAAUCCUGCUGGGGCCGCCC
Molecule: transfer RNA, 76 nt
Filed under: Nocardiopsis sinuspersici
Lineage: Bacteria; Bacillati; Actinomycetota; Actinomycetes; Streptosporangiales; Nocardiopsidaceae
Also listed under: 1 other name
Description: tRNA-Arg
Rfam family: tRNA
About the family: Transfer RNA (tRNA) molecules are approximately 80 nucleotides in length. Their secondary structure includes four short double-helical elements and three loops (D, anti-codon, and T loops).
Source: RNAcentral